This 253-nucleotide ribosomal RNA is filed under the name uncultured bacterium. Its description in RNAcentral is "partial 16S ribosomal RNA". It matches the Rfam family "Bacterial small subunit ribosomal RNA", at positions 524 to 776 of the family's 1533-position model. The record is from RNAcentral.
UACGUAGGGUGCGAGCGUUAAUCGGAAUUACUGGGCGUAAAGCGUGCGCAGGCGGUUCGCCAAGUCAGGUGUGAAAUCCCCGGGCUUAACCUGGGAAUUGCGCUUGAAACUGGCGGGCUAGAGUGUGGCAGAGGGGGGUGGAAUUCCGCGUGUAGCAGUGAAAUGCGUAGAGAUGCGGAGGAACACCGAUGGCGAAGGCAGCCCCCUGGGCUAGCAUUGACGCUCAGGCACGAAAGCGUGGGGAGCAAACAGG